CACACACGAAUGAGUCAUGAGCAACUAGUUUACUCAGUGAAUCUAUAAUCACAACACAAUCAAUAAUAAACCAAACAAUUAUCAAAUACAUAUACAUGAUCAUGCAAGUAUUAGUACUAUACUUUAGUAUACCAAUCAUCAUUGUGAAUUCUUAUUUUAAACAUCACUUCCUCAACACCCGCCCGUUACCAAACUCAUAUAAUACAAUAUAUAUACUAGGCCCGAGAAACCACUAAGGCUAACCGAGACUAGUGAGUUAGCAUC
Molecule: long non-coding RNA, 264 nt
Filed under: Brassica napus (rape)
Lineage: Eukaryota; Viridiplantae; Streptophyta; Magnoliopsida; Brassicales; Brassicaceae
Description: long non-coding RNA (BNAP_LNC004188)
Source: RNAcentral